RNAcentral lists this long non-coding RNA (1460 nucleotides) under Zostera marina. RNAcentral describes it as "long non-coding RNA (ZMAR_LNC004677)". Lineage: Eukaryota; Viridiplantae; Streptophyta; Magnoliopsida; Alismatales; Zosteraceae. The record is from RNAcentral.
CCCCUUUAGUUGGUUGUUUUACUUUAAUUUUUUGUACCUCAUGUACCCUAUAAAAGGGCUUCAAAUGUAUUUCCAAUAUUAUGCAAAUAAAGAAUACAAUUUUCCCUGUAAAUCAGUGGAAAUCAUUCGUGAGUUUGCAGUUCGUUAAUUUCAACCGACCUUCGAAGAUUUCUGCCGCACUGUCCGCGAUCGAUCAUUCUUCCCAAAAUUGGAAGUUAUAGCCACUCCGUUCGGAUCCAUUCCGCACUCUGCUACAUUGUAGCACCACCUUCGUCUCUUAUAUCAUUGAUCUUUUCCGAUCAGUUGAUCAGAGACAAAUCCUUCGGAUCAGGUUACUGUAAAUUUUACAAUUCUUAUUGCCUUGUCUCUAAAUCUUGAUCGUCAUACUCCGAUCAUAGAUCGGGGACUCUCGAAUCCGAGAAGGUCUCUGUGUUUAUUUCUUACGCACAAUUGAGUGUGUAACACCAAACUCAAACUUGACACAUACAGAAAAUAAGAAUUACUACAUAUCUCUAACUAGAUACAUUUCAAAUUCUGACUAUCUUACAUUAUAAGAAAACAAACGGUUGGUCGUCACUGAAAGUCUGUUUUCUUAUAGUGUUACUCUAACAUUUAUUUCAUAACCUAAUUAACUUACUAGAUACAUUUUGUAGCUUAACUAACUAACUAUAUACAUUUUGUAGUCUAACUAAUUAAUUGGAUACAUUUUAUAGCACUACUAGAAAAUUGUUCUACAGUUAUACAGAUUUUGGUUGUCGUUGAAAGUCUAUUUUUCUAUAGUGUGGCAUGAUUAACUAACUAGAUACAUUUUGUAGCUUAACUAACUAACUAUAUACAUUUUGUAGCCUAACUAACUAAUUAGAUAUAUUUUAUAGCAAUACUAAAAAAUUGUUCUACUAUUACAGAUUUUGGUUGUCGUUGAAAGUCUAUUUUUCUAUAGUGUGGCAUAAUUAACUAACUAUAUACAUUGUGUAACCUAACUAACUAAUUAUAUACAUUGUGCAACCUAACUAACUAAUUGGAUACAUUUUAUAACACUACUAGAAAAUUAUUCUACAAUGACAGAUUUUGAUCGUCGUUAAAAGUCUAUUUUUCUGUAGUGUAGCAUGAUUAACUAACUAGAUACAUUUUGUAGCCUAACUAACUAAUUGGAUACAUUUUAUAGCACUACUAAAAAAUUGUUCUACAAUGACAGAUUUGAUCGUCGUUGAAAGUCUAUUUUUCUAUAGUGUGGCCUGAGUAACUAACGAGAUACAUUUUGUAACCUAACUAAAUUGUUCUACAGUUACAGAUUUUAGUUGUCAUUUAAAGUCUAUUUUUCUUUAGUGUGGCAUAAUUAACUAACUAGAUACAUUUUGUAGUCUAACUAAUUAGAUACAUUUUAUAGCAUAACUAACUAAUUAGAUACAUUUUAUAGCACUACUAAAAAAUUGUUCUAUAAUUACAUAUUUUGAUCGCCG